RNAcentral lists this ribosomal RNA (425 nucleotides) under uncultured bacterium. RNAcentral describes it as "partial 16S ribosomal RNA". It matches the Rfam family "Bacterial small subunit ribosomal RNA", at positions 354 to 796 of the family's 1533-position model. The record is from RNAcentral.
GUGGGGAAUCUUAGACAAUGGGCGCAAGCCUGAUCUAGCCAUGCCGCGUGAGCGAUGAAGGCCUUAGGGUUGUAAAGCUCUUUCAGCUGGGAAGAUAAUGACGGUACCAGCAGAAGAAGCCCCGGCUAACUCCGUGCCAGCAGCCGCGGUAAUACGAAGGUCCCGAGCGUUGUUCGGAAUCACUGGGCGUAAAGCGCACGUAGGCGGAACAGAAAGUCAGAGGUGAAAUCCCAGGGCUCAACCUUGGAACUGCCUUUGAAACUCCUGUUCUUGAGUUCGAGAGAGGUGAGUGGAAUUCCGAGUGUAGAGGUGAAAUUCGUAGAUAUUCGGAGGAACACCAGUGGCGAAGGCGGCUCACUGGCUCGAUACUGACGCUGAGGUGCGAAAGCGUGGGGAGCAAACAGGAUUAGAAACCCGAGUAGUCC